UCGGCGGGGAAGAAAUCGCAUCUCCUAAUACGGGGUGUGGAUGACGGUACCCGAAUAAGAAGCACCGGCUAACUACGUGCCAGCAGCCGCGGUAAUACGUAGGGUGCGAGCGUUAAUCGGAAUUACUGGGCGUAAAGCGUGCGCAGGCGGUUUUGUAAGACAGAUGUGAAAUCCCCGGGCUCAACCUGGGAACUGCAUUUGUGACUGCAAGGCUAGAGUAUGGCAGAGGGGGGUGGAAUUCCACGUGUAGCAGUGAAAUGCGUAGAGAUGUGGAGGAACACCGAUGGCGAAGGCAGCCCCCUGGGCCAAUACUGACGCUCAUGCACGAAAGCGUGGGGAGCAAACAGGAUUAGAUACCCUGGUAGUCCACGCCCUAAACGAUGUCAACUAGGUGUUGGAAGGGUUAAACCUUUUAGUACCGUAGCUAACGCGUGAAGUUGACCGCCUGGGGAGUACGGCCGCAAGGUUAAAACUCAAAGGAAUUGACGGGGACCCGCACAAGCGGUGGAUGAUGUGGAUUAAUUCGAUGCAACGCGAAAAACCUUACCUACCCUUGACAUGUCCAGAAGCCUGAAGAGAUUUGGGUGUGCUCGAAAGAGAACUGGAACACAGGUGCUGUAUGGCUGUCGUCAGCUCGUGUCGUGAGAUGUUGGGUUAAGUCCCGCAACGAGCGCAACCCUUGUCAUUAGUUGCCAUCAUUUAGUUGGGCACUCUAAUGAGACUGCCGGUGACAAACCGGAGGAAGGUGGGGAUGACGUCAAGUCCUCAUGGCCCUUAUGGGUAGGGCUUCACACGUCAUACAAUGGUCGGUACAGAGGGUUGCCAAGCCGCGAGGUGGAGCCAAUCCCAGAAAGCCGAUCGUAGUCCGGAUCGUAGUCUGCAACUCGACUACGUGAAGUCGGAAUCGCUAGUAAUCGCGGAUCAGCAUGUCGCGGUGAAUACGUUCCCGGGUCUUGUACACACCGCCCGUCACACCAUGGGAGUGGGUUCUACCAGAAGUAGUUAGCCUAACCGCAAGGAGGGCGAUUACCACGGUAGGGUUCAUGACUGGGGUGAAGUCGUAACAAGGUAGCC
RNAcentral lists this ribosomal RNA (1074 nucleotides) under uncultured beta proteobacterium. RNAcentral describes it as "bacterial SSU rRNA". It matches the Rfam family "Bacterial small subunit ribosomal RNA", at positions 434 to 1501 of the family's 1533-position model. The record is from RNAcentral. Lineage: Bacteria; Pseudomonadati; Pseudomonadota; Betaproteobacteria.